Molecule: transfer RNA, 58 nt
Filed under: Phanuelus gladstone
Lineage: Eukaryota; Metazoa; Arthropoda; Arachnida; Araneae; Salticidae
Description: tRNA-Phe
Source: RNAcentral
AAAUAUAUAGCUUAUAUAGAGCAAUUUACUGAAGAUAAAGAGGACUAACUCAUCUUUA